AUGGACUUGCAUGGGUUGUGCAGUGGUUUUGGCAUCUGGUUGGCAUCAUACUGGCUGCUGGAGAGCGGGGUGUAUGGUCGUGAAGGCAGGGCCUCAAUGCAGUGGUGUUGUCGGGGGAACCAAGCCUCUCCCUGGGCUCUUUAUCUCCUGACAUCUACAAUUCUUCUUCCAUCCCAGCCGAGCCUCUUCCUCUGCUGCCAGACGCCUGCUCCAAGGAAGUUUCCUAAAACCAGAUAUCGCCACCUCCUCCUUCCUCCUGCUCCACCUGAGCCUCUGCUUCCUCUGCGGAGAAACUUGUGCCCAGGAAUCCACCUAAAUCCAGGGAUCUCUACAAGCUCCCUCUUCCCUCUGCACCCGAGCCGCUUCAGCCUCAGCAGGACACGCAUUCGAAGGAACCUGUCUACAUCCAUGAAAGCUUUUUCUUCCCUCCCACCUGAGCCUCUUUCUGUGCUGCCAGAACCUGUUGCAAGGAAGAUACUUCAAACAGAGGUCUCCACAGCCUCUGUCUUCCCUCUAUAGCUGACCUGCUUCUGCCUCUGCAGGACUCCCACUUGAAGGAAGCUGUCUAAAUCCAUGUAAGGUGAGUCACAGCUUGGUUGUUUAGGAUUCCAUGCUGAGUCUGGGGGUGGAAGGCUGCUGAUUAAAGCCCUGCUGGCCUAACUCAGAGCUCNGAGGUUGCGGGUUCAAUCCCUGGCCUUGCUCCAUGGGUUAAGGAUCCGGCGUUGCUGUGAGCUGUGGUGUAGGUCACAGACAUGGCUCAGAUCCCACGUUGCUGUGGCUGUGACGUAGGCUGGCAGCAGCAGCUCCGAUUCAACCCCUAGCCUGGGAACCUCUGUGUGCCAUGGGAGCGGCCCAAGAAAUGGCAAAAAAAGACAAAAAUAAUAACAGUAAAGCCUUGCUGUCCUAAUUUAAAUAGGAAGGUUGCUGCUUUCAGGGAAUUAGAUAAAGUCAGGUGUGGAGACUGGCCUGGCUGACUGUGAGAUGGUCCCUCCAUUGUAUGUAGUGCAUCUGAGGGGGCCUAGGGAGAUAUGGGUAUGCAAAUCACAUUAGCAAGAGCCCCGGGCUGGGGCAGAGCAGGGUUCCUCUGUGGGAUGUAGAAGGGCUGAGACUGGCUGUGAAUGCCGCAGCCCACCAGAUGGCGCGCUAGCACUAGCAGAACCCCUUCUGCAUCUCCAGGACUGCACUUGCAAACUCAAAUACAUGGUUG
This 1207-nucleotide long non-coding RNA is filed under the name Sus scrofa (pig). RNAcentral describes it as "lncRNA (ENSSSCG00055006112.1)". The record is from RNAcentral. Lineage: Eukaryota; Metazoa; Chordata; Mammalia; Artiodactyla; Suidae.